UACGGAGGGUGCAAGCGUUAAUCGGAAUUACUGGGCGUAAAGCGUGCGCAGGCGGUUUUGUAAGUCUGACGUGAAAUCCCCGGGCUCAACCUGGGAAUUGCAUUGGAGACUGCAAGGCUAGAAUCUGGCAGAGGGGGGUAGAAUUCCACGUGUAGCAGUGAAAUGCGUAGAGAUGUGGAGGAACACCGAUGGCGAAGGCAGCCCCCUGGGUCAAGAUUGACGCUCAUGCACGAAAGCGUGGGGAGCAAACAGG
RNAcentral lists this ribosomal RNA (253 nucleotides) under uncultured bacterium. RNAcentral's name for it is "partial 16S ribosomal RNA". It matches the Rfam family "Bacterial small subunit ribosomal RNA", at positions 524 to 776 of the family's 1533-position model. The record is from RNAcentral.